CCCUUAGAUGUUCUGGGCUGCACGCGCGCUACACUGAUGCGAUCAACAAGUUUUUCCUAUGUCGAUAGACACGGGUAAUCUUUUGAACUCGCAUCGUGAUGGGGAUAGAUUAUUGUAAUUAUUAAUCUUCAACGAGGAAUUCCUAGUAGGUGCAAAUCAUCAGUUUGCAUCGAUUACGUCCCUGCCCUUUGUACACACCGCCCGUCGCUGCUACCGAUUGGUUGAUCUGGUGAAUUAUUCGGACUGCCGGCUGAAGGGGUCUCCUCAUCUGCCAGCGGAAAGUCUUGUUAACCCUAUCAACUAGAGGAAGCAGAAGUCGUAACA
RNAcentral lists this ribosomal RNA (324 nucleotides) under uncultured eukaryote. RNAcentral's name for it is "partial 18S ribosomal RNA". It matches the Rfam family "Eukaryotic small subunit ribosomal RNA", at positions 1470 to 1796 of the family's 1831-position model. The record is from RNAcentral.